GAUUUAACAGGGAUGUAAGAAACACCUUACUGGAUCACCCAGAUGGUCCCUCCAAUCAGUAUUCUGACUCCAGCAGUGGCAGCAGGAUUCCGGGCAAAUAUGUGAGCCUACCAUUUUCCACAGCCCAUUCCCACUCAUACAUCCCCAGAAUCGAGUCACCUCAUUCGGAAGUUGGAAUUUUCCCCAUUGUGGUCUCCUUAACUUUUCUACUGAGCCAUGCAGAGAUUUUAUUGAAGUGCUUGUUUUCUUGUUGAAACAAGGCAGUUUACCAGGGCUUCUAAUACAAUAUUUGUAACAAUAUCAAUACAAUAAUACUACUGCUGCAUGAGUCCUGAAAUACCUAUAUGGUAUUUAAAACAAAAGAAGUGUCUAGAUAUAUUUCCCUUUACCUGACCUCCAGCCAUUCAUUAUAACCUUGAAUGCAGAGCAUCUGACUCAGCUGCUCUCUUUCUACACUGGGAGAAACUGCCUGCCUGCUGAUAGCAUUUUUUCUCUAUGUCCUCAGAUACCUGCCAGCGCCCACAGCCCUCUUUCUAGCCUAGCAUCUUCCUUUAGCUUAUAUUUAGACUUUGAGGAGUAAAUUGUUUUUAGCCUGCCAGGUAUCAGAAAGGGUAAAUUCCCCAACAAACAGCACCCUCACUGCGUUUUCAAGGAUUAAUGCUGCUUUGCUUUUCUUGCUGGCCCUGUUACAUCUUCUAUUUGAUUUAACUCUCUGCGCUGAGGCAAAAUAAGACCUCAUCAGUAAUCCUUAUCUUACAUGGUUCCACGACUCCCUUCAGCGUUUCUGUAUUUUUUUGAGAUGGCUGCACCCAGAACUGAAAUCCAGCGAGCACCUUCUGUGAAGAGGCACCUGGCUGCGUCCCCACGAGGGAUCCAAGGCCACAACUCCUCGCGUCGCACCAGAAGCGGCUCUGUGUCCCACCGAGCGUGCUCUUGCCCACUUGCAUGGGUGACGUGUGACAAGAGUCUCGGCACCUCUGGUUUCCCCCCCAGCGCCAGGGCUGGUCUUGGGGCACCUCGUUCCUCCCCGGGGGGGGGGGGGCCUGAUCCUGGCCCGCUGUGCCGGGACAAACUUCAGGUGGGCUCGGCCAAGGGCUGCCGCGUGCGUGAUCCGACGCUGUACGGGCAGCUCUGGUGCUACAGAGCUCUGGGGCGAGCCGAAAGCUGCGCCGGAGCUGCUGUUAGGGGCUGAGUACGCAGGCGAGGGUCUUUCAUCCGAUUUCCAUCUUCCCGUCCUAUUUCUGCACUAGCUGGCCCGUGGUGCGCGCACCAAAGGCCACAAGGGGAUUCUUGGCAGGCCGUGACCUAUCCCGACCUGCCAGAAUAAUAAUAAUAAAAAAAAUAAUAAUUUUUAAUUUUA
This is a long non-coding RNA of Tyto alba (common barn owl), 1360 nucleotides long. RefSeq lists it as uncharacterized. The record is from RefSeq and is a predicted model, not a curated record. The transcript is spliced from 2 exons. Lineage: Eukaryota; Metazoa; Chordata; Aves; Strigiformes; Tytonidae.